Molecule: transfer RNA, 72 nt
Filed under: Camelus bactrianus (Bactrian camel)
Lineage: Eukaryota; Metazoa; Chordata; Mammalia; Artiodactyla; Camelidae
Also listed under: 1 other name
Rfam family: tRNA
About the family: Transfer RNA (tRNA) molecules are approximately 80 nucleotides in length.
Source: Rfam by way of RNAcentral
GGAGGUACAGCUCAGUGGUAGAGCGUGUGCUUAGCGUGCACAAGGUCCUGGGUUCAAUCCCCGGCACCUCUA